GGGGGGAUACCGAAGCGGUCAAACGGGGCAGACUGUAAAUCUGUUGGCUCAUGCCUUCGUAGGUUCGAAUCCUGCUCCCCCCACCA
RNAcentral lists this transfer RNA (86 nucleotides) under Gemmatimonadota bacterium. RNAcentral describes it as "Gemmatimonadetes bacterium tRNA-Tyr". It matches the Rfam family "tRNA". Rfam says of the family: Transfer RNA (tRNA) molecules are approximately 80 nucleotides in length. Their secondary structure includes four short double-helical elements and three loops (D, anti-codon, and T loops). Lineage: Bacteria; Pseudomonadati; Gemmatimonadota. The record is from RNAcentral.